RNAcentral lists this ribosomal RNA (373 nucleotides) under uncultured bacterium. RNAcentral describes it as "bacterial SSU rRNA". It matches the Rfam family "Bacterial small subunit ribosomal RNA", at positions 28 to 402 of the family's 1533-position model. The record is from RNAcentral.
GACGAACGCUGGCGGCGUGCUUAACACAUGCAAGUCGAGCGGUAAGGCCCCUUCGGGGGUACACGAGCGGCGAACGGGUGAGUAACACGUGGGUGACCUGCCCUCAGCUCUGGGAUAAGCCUGGGAAACUGGGUCUAAUACCGGAUAUGACUCCAUGACGCAUGUCGUGGGGUGGAAAGCCUUGUGCGGCUGGGGAUGGGCCCGCGGCCUAUCAGCUUGUUGGUGGGGUGAUGGCCUACCAAGGCGACGACGGGUAGCCGGCCUGAGAGGGCGACCGGCCACACUGGGACUGAGACACGGCCCAGACUCCUACGGGAGGCAGCAGUGGGGAAUCUUGCGCAAUGCGCGAAAGCGUGACGCAGCAACGCCGCGU